UGCGUGGAGAGUGUAUCUCCCUGGGUGUGUAUGUGUGUCCACGCCUAUCAAGUGACCACAUAACUUUCUUUCCCUGGUGAUAUGAAGGCGUGGACGCUGCCAUAGUGAAAAACAAGCUGCCCUGUCACCCGUGACUCAGGAGAGCGGCAAGUCCUGGGGCUACUACAUGGGGCACUUCUACCCCCCGGCGCCCCCCAGCCUAAUCCAGUAAUCGCCCCCAUCCCCCGAGGACCCCGCCCCCCCUAUCCGCGAGCCGCACGGAGACACGGACGCAAGGGCACCCCUCACUGUCACUCUCUGCCAGGACGCACGAACACACACAUACGCGCAUACUCCACCAUCUGGAUGAGGGAGCACAACUGUGUGUGUGACGAGCUGCUCAAGAUUCACCCAAAUCUUGGGAUGACAACUGCCUCUACCAGACUGCCCGCCUUACUGUCAUCAUUGUCAUCACUGACAUCAAGGAACCACACACACGCUCUCUACCCAGUGCUGGAGGAGGUGAAUGAAAACGGCCGCCAGCUGAGGUUCCAGGGGCUCAACGCGUACCGCAGGAGGUUUAGCAUGCAGCCCUUCACCUCCUUCCUUGACCUGGCUGGUGACCCCAAACUGGCGGCUGACCUGGAGCACUUCUGCAGGGACAUAGAGGCUGUGGAGUACUAUGUCAGUCUUGUCACGGCACGCCCCGGCCCCUCGGUCACCCUGCCGUCCACGGUCAGUUUGGGAGGCCCCUGGAGUGUGAAGGGGCUCAUGGCUGCCCAUUUGCAGCCCUAAGUACUGGAAGUCCUCCACUUCUGGCAGCAAGGAAGGCUUUCAGGUCGUCAAGACAGCCACUCUGAAGAAACCCUUCUGCCUCAACAUGAAAACAGGCCGUUAGAAUGAGAAUGUCGCGUUCACAGUCUCUCCCUGGUACGUCCUGAGCUUCCGGGGCUGCGUUAGGGUACAUUCAUGCUACGGCUGCGUCUUCAGGUCCUCCCAGCCCAUCCUGGUGCACCCCGAGUCCCUGAAUGUGGGUUAGGGUGUCGGGGUGUGUGGCUGUUGCCUGGGAGGAAAUUGUGCCCGCUCUGAUGGUUGCCAUUACACUUUGAUCUGGGAGGUACGCGUUGGUUGUGUAAGAAAAAUUCCUCCAAUCUCACCUGUCCUUCUCUCCAGGUGACAGAGGCUUCUGAGUGACCCAUCCAUCCAGCCACUCAUCCACAUGACCCAUCCAUCCAGCCACUCAUCCACAUGACCCAUCCAUCCAGCCACUCAUCCACAUGACCCAUCCAGCCAUCCACCCGAGGCAAGCGCCGCCUCCGCCCCCUGUCAGGUAUGGAGGGGUUAGGGAAAGGACGCCGUGCCCCAGCAGCUGCCCCUGACUGGCCAGCUGACCCCCCUUGAUGUCUCCAGGGCCGUGGUGAGGCAGGAGAGGACUCGAGGGUGCUGUCACAAAAACCACUUCUUGUGCCGGGAGGAAGAGCUUUCGUGUGGCCCACUGUGCAAUCCCACGCUGCUGUACCACGGGUCAGAGAGUGAGAGAGUGGAGAAGAGGGAGCUGUUCAGAAGGGCUGUGGAAGUGGAAGGGUGCCCUGUCUGAGUCCUGCCUGUCACUAUGACAUCCUCUGAGGUCCCUGAACACCUUAGCCCCCAUGAACCAGCUGCUGCUGACCGGGACACCCUUGCAGAACAGCCUGGCAGAGCUCUGGCCCCCUCUGAACUUCCUGAUGCCAGAUAUUUUUGAUUCCCUCAAUGUGUGGGGAGAUGCAGGAGGAGGGAAGUGACGAGAGGAUUUUGAGGCAGGAACGGGAGGGCCAGGUCAUCUCCACUCUAAUAAAGGAAUUUUGGGGCAAGUGGAGAGGCCCAGAGAGAAAAAUAUUUGAAGGAUGCUUAAGUGAAGAUAAUAUUUAAAGGAUUUGUGGGAAAAGGAAAGUGGAUGAAAAGACGUUUGUCUCGUGCCAGCGAACGUCCUGUCUGCAGUCGGACUGGUGGUGCCGUGUUGCAGGCUGUGACGUCAGGAAGAGCCAAAUGGAGGGUGUCUACAGCCAGAACUUGCUGCUGCUGCUGUACAAGUGUCACAAGCCAGGUGCCACAGCACACACCAUGUCACCUGACUCCACCAGUGUAUUGUCUAGUCCAGGAUGCAUUGCUGUAUGAUUUGCAUGUCUAUUGCCAAUAAAUAAAUUUGUGACUAUUCUUAUAUAUGUGAAAAAAUAUAGAGUUUCCUAACAGUGUGGUAUAGUGUAAAAUAAAUUGUUUUGGUGGUAACAAUUCAUGCACAGAAGAAGAAGAAAAAAAAAAAAAAAAAAAAAAGCCAGGAUUAACCCACCCCAAAAAAAGUUUAAGAUACAAUUUGAACACAGAAACCCCAUCCGAGCGACACCGGAGUCGCUUGGACAGGGCUUCCUCGUGCAAAUUGUAUCUUAAACUUGCUUUUAAUAAACCAAGUUAAUCCUGGCUUUUUUUUUCACCUUAAGGGCAUGAACUGUACUCCAAGAAAGGUUGUUUAUUUGCAGAAGAUAUUAUUGACAUAGUACACAAGACGGUAUAUUGAAUUUUUAUUGUUUUAGUGUAUGACAAGUUAAUAAACACACAACAGGAUAAA
Molecule: RNA transcript, 2581 nt
Organism: Scylla paramamosain (green mud crab)
Lineage: Eukaryota; Metazoa; Arthropoda; Malacostraca; Decapoda; Portunidae
Gene name: prostaglandin G/H synthase 2-like
Exons: 15
Source: RefSeq, a predicted model, not a curated record